This is an RNA transcript of Camelina sativa (false flax), 1035 nucleotides long. RefSeq lists it as uncharacterized. The record is from RefSeq and is a predicted model, not a curated record. Lineage: Eukaryota; Viridiplantae; Streptophyta; Magnoliopsida; Brassicales; Brassicaceae.
GCUGAAAAGUAAAAUAAAACAAAAAAUAAUUACGAUAAAAAGGUGGGAAAAAACAAAGCUUUGUCUCAACAUUAUCCAAAACUUAAUUACAGCGUUGAAACCGAAACCCCGAUCUCGUUCGUCGCUCUUUCCUAUUCUCUAGAUGAUGAUGAUGGCUCGAUCUCUUUCUCUCUCUAAAGGCCGUCUCGCCACCGCCGCUGCAUCGUCCUCUCUCCUCCCUUCAUCAUCACACCUCGUCUCUUCCCGAUCACAAUCCUCCCGUCGCCGUGUCGAUCUGUACGAAAUCGAUACCGCUGAGGCGUCGCAAUCGCCGUCUGAUCCUUUGAUUCAGAAGCUAGAGGACGCCGUUCACCGGAUAUUCGUACGCCGAUCUGCUCCUGAUUGGCUCCCUUUUGUUCCCGGUGCUUCGUAUUGGGUGCCUCCUUCUGGAUCUGGAACCCAGUCUAAUGGAAUCGCUCAGCUCGUUGUGAAGCUCGCGAAUCCGUUAACCGACGAAGGAUCUUUAUCUGCGAAUUCUUCUCAUGGAUGGCCUUCCUCUGAUUAUUUCCUUAAAGGUUCUGAUUGGGAUGUGAUUUAUAUUUAGAGAAUCAUUAUUCAUUAGGGAGUAGCGAAUGUGGUGGAACAGGUGGUACACCUAAGUUGAUGGAGAACAUGACCGACAACACAGUUUCAACUACUGAGUCUCACUCCGAGGACGAGGAAGUGUAAAACAUAACCCCACUUCUCGUUUGGGGAUCUGUAGAUUUGUCAAGUGCAGGAGCCACCGGGACAAUGAAUUCAGACGUCCAAGAGCAAGUGCAAAGAUGCGAUAUAGACGAACCAUCUUUCUCUAUCUGAUCCCGAAAUGUGGGAAAAUUGAAUAAAGAGUAGUUUGUUGUAGGUUUGUAGCAUUUCCUUCUGUUUUAAAUUUGUAACCUGUUCCUUUUCAACAGUUGGUGUGUAUAUAUAUUUCUCUUUCCUUGCUCUUUCAGUUAUUAACAAGUUGUUUAUGUUAAUUAGAAAUAUGAGGUAAUCUAACAUGGUACGGUUUUUAUA